GCCCGCGGCGAAUUCGGGGAAACCCGGACUCUUAGCUCUGUAGGAUGGAAGCUAAGGAGCCAGAUGCAUAGAUGGACCCUAGUGUGGAUGGCACAGGUGAUACCAGGCGUGAUUGGGUAGGAAACGUGGCUUGGUAAUGUUUUGUGAGCUAUGCAGAGAUAGGAGGGUCAUGUUUUAUUUAUUUAUUUUUACUGUUUUAAAGAUUUUAUUUAUUCAUGAGAGACACAGACAGAGGCAGAGACUCAGGCAGAGGGAGAAGCAGGCUCCAUGCAGGGAGCCCGACGUGGGCCUCGAUCCCGGACCCCGGGGUCACGCCCCGGGCCGAAGGCAGGCAGACGCUCAACCGCUGAGCCACCCGGGCUGCCCAAGGGUCAUGUUUUAAAUGGAGGUCUUGUGUCUCUGCCACAUGGAAAGGCGGGAGAAAAUAGACCAGCUGAGAUGAAGGAUCUUUCUGGAUCAGCAUCUGGUAUUGCAGAAGAAUGGAUGGAAGAAGCAUCUCCCAUUGGGCGGGAAAUGGCUGACCAGGAGUGGAAGCGGAGGGACGGUGACCCGAGACUGGAUUCCUCUUUCAAUGAAUCAUGCCGUCAGCAGUGGGAAGAUGGACUGGAGACCAGGGAAGAGUAAGAAAAUGCAGGUUUAUUUGAGAGGGAAAUCGAGUGAGCACAUGUGGACACAGAGAGGGAGAAGCAGACUCCCAGCUGAGUGGGGAGCCCAAUGCAGAGCUCCAUCCCAGGACCCCAGGAUCAUGACCUGAGCCCAAGGCAGAUGCUUAAUCCACCCACACUCCAUCUGGUCCAUCUCUUCAUUCUUUGAAGCAGCGUGACCAAGAAGCACGGGCAUCGAAGGAAACGAAAUCCUGCAAUGGGAUGCCUGGUGGCAAUGGGAUGCUCGUUCUCUGUGUCUCUCAUGAAUAAAUAAAAUAUUUUUUA
This is a long non-coding RNA of Nyctereutes procyonoides (raccoon dog), 929 nucleotides long. RefSeq lists it as uncharacterized. The record is from RefSeq and is a predicted model, not a curated record. The transcript is spliced from 4 exons. NCBI's taxonomy places the organism in Eukaryota, Metazoa, Chordata, Mammalia, Carnivora, Canidae.